RNAcentral lists this ribosomal RNA (429 nucleotides) under Chloroflexota bacterium. RNAcentral describes it as "Chloroflexi bacterium partial 16S ribosomal RNA". It matches the Rfam family "Bacterial small subunit ribosomal RNA", at positions 355 to 776 of the family's 1533-position model. Lineage: Bacteria; Bacillati; Chloroflexota. The record is from RNAcentral.
UGGGGAAUAUUGCACAAUGGGCGCAAGCCUGAUGCAGCCAUGCCGCGUGUGUGAUGAAGGCCUUCGGGUUGUAAAGCACUUUCAGCGGGGAGGAAGGUGUUAAGGCUAAUAACCUUGGCGAUUGAUGUUACCCGCAGAAGAAGCACCGGCUAACUCCGUGCCAUCAGCCGCGGUAAUACGGAGGGUGCAAGCGUUAAUCGGAAUUACUGGGCGUAUAGCGCACGCAGGCGGUCUGUCAAGUCGGAUGUGAAAUCCCCGGGCUCAACCUGGGAACUGCAUUCGAUACUGACAGGCUAGAGUCUGGUAGAGGGGGGUAGAAUACCAGGUGGAGCGGUGAAAUGCGUAGAGAUCUGGAGGAAUACCGGUGGCGAAGGCGGCCCCCUGGACGAAGUCUGACGCUCAGGUGCGAAAGCGGGGGGAGCAAACAGG